RNAcentral lists this ribosomal RNA (468 nucleotides) under uncultured bacterium. RNAcentral's name for it is "partial 16S ribosomal RNA". It matches the Rfam family "Bacterial small subunit ribosomal RNA", at positions 28 to 507 of the family's 1533-position model. The record is from RNAcentral.
GACGAACGCUGGCGGCGUGCUUAACACAUGCAAGUCGAACGGAAAGGCCCUGCUUUUGUGGGGUGCUCGAGUGGCGAACGGGUGAGUAACACGUGAGUAACCUGCCCUUGACUUUGUGAUAACUUCAGGAAACUGGGGCUAAUACCGGAUAGGAGCUCCUGCUGCAUGGUGGUGGUUGGAAAGUUUCGGCGGUUGGGUAUGGACUGGCGGCUUAUCGGCUGGUUGGUGGGGUAGUGGCUUACCAAGGCUUUGACGGGUAGCCGGCAUGAGAGGGUGACCGGCGACAUUGGGACUGAGGGAGGGACCAGAAGGCUACGGGAGGCAGCAGUGGAGAACAUGACACAAUGGGCGGAAGCCUGAGGCAGAAACGCCGCGAGCGGGAUGACGGCUUUCGGGUGGUAAACAGAUUUCGAAGGUGAUGAAGCGUGAGUGACGGUAAUGGGUAAAGAAGCACCGGCUAACUACGUG